RNAcentral lists this small RNA (489 nucleotides) under Histoplasma capsulatum var. duboisii H88. Its description in RNAcentral is "Histoplasma capsulatum H88 hypothetical RNA". Lineage: Eukaryota; Fungi; Ascomycota; Eurotiomycetes; Onygenales; Ajellomycetaceae. The record is from RNAcentral.
CAAUGCUGAUGUCUCCAAAGCGGGGCUAUCGUCUGCGACUCCGCCAAGCGGCAAUCUGAGGCGCGCCUUCAUGGGGCCGGGAUAUGAUGUGCAACCAACAUGGGGAGUGGCUGAACAGUUUGUUUAGCUUCGAACUAAGCGUUAGUUCCGGAACAAUCUCUGACGGGGGAGAUCAAGUAUGGCCAAGUUGGUGCGGGACGAGAUCCUCGAGGUCUUGAAAAUCGCUAGUAAUUAUAUGAUGAGCGUUUCGUUAAGGGAGUCGAAUGUGUGAAAGCAUGCCCUUGGGCUUUUCAGCGUUGUUGGUUUUCACAGUCUCCAGCUCACUGAGGUAUUUGCCUUCGGUAAUAUUUCAAAAUCCCAUGCGAGUCCAGAGGUAUAUCUUCCCAUGCAGGCUUGGGCACUGGCGUGGAAACUUCCUGAUCAGGAUGCAGCCUCAAGAAACGAAACCUCAACUGUACAGAAACAACAGACUCGGCAAAGACCCAUCGC